UACGUAGGGGGCAAGCGUUGUCCGGAUUUAUUGGGCGUAAAGAGCGUGUAGGCGGUUAGGUAGGUCCGUUGUGAAAACUCGAGGCUCAACCUCGAGACGCCGAUGGAAACCAUCUAACUAGAGUCCGGAAGAGGAGAGUGGAAUUCCUGGUGUAGCGGUGAAAUGCGCAGAUAUCAGGAAGAACACCCGUGGCUAAGGCGGCUCUCUAGUACGGUACUGACGCUGAGACGCGAAAGCGUGG
Molecule: ribosomal RNA, 241 nt
Filed under: uncultured bacterium
Lineage: Bacteria
Description: partial 16S ribosomal RNA
Rfam family: Bacterial small subunit ribosomal RNA
Source: RNAcentral